AGCGUAGGUUGCCUAACAUGUCAACUGUGAAAACCCGGAGCUCAACUCCGGACUUGCAGUUGAAACUGGUAGGCUUGAGGACGGUAGAGGAAGACGGAACUGCCAGUGUAGGGGUAAAAUCCUUAGAUAUUGGCAGGAACGCCGGUGACGAAGGUGGUUUUCUGGGCCGGUUCUGACACUGAUGCUCGAAAGCCAGGGGAGCGAACG
Molecule: ribosomal RNA, 207 nt
Filed under: uncultured Mesotoga sp.
Lineage: Bacteria; Thermotogati; Thermotogota; Thermotogae; Kosmotogales; Kosmotogaceae
Description: partial 16S ribosomal RNA
Rfam family: Bacterial small subunit ribosomal RNA
Source: RNAcentral